This 253-nucleotide ribosomal RNA is filed under the name uncultured bacterium. RNAcentral's name for it is "partial 16S ribosomal RNA". It matches the Rfam family "Bacterial small subunit ribosomal RNA", at positions 524 to 776 of the family's 1533-position model. The record is from RNAcentral.
UACGUAGGGUGCGAGCGUUGUCCGGAAUUACUGGGCGUAAAGAGCUCGUAGGUGGUUUGUCGCGUUGUUCGUGAAAACUCACAGCUCAACUGUGGGCGUGCGGGCGAUACGGGCAGACUGGAGUACUGCAGGGGAGACUGGAAUUCCUGGUGUAGCGGUGGAAUGCGCAGAUAUCAGGAGGAACACCGGUGGCGAAGGCGGGUCUCUGGGCAGUAACUGACGCCGAGGAGCGAAAGCGUGGGGAGCGAACAGG